GAUGAAGAACGUAGCGAAAUGCGAUACGUAAUGUGAAUUGCAGAAUUCAGUGAAUCAUCGAAUCUUUGAACGCACAUUGCACUCUCUGGUAUUCCGGAGAGUAUGCUUGUUUGAGUAUCAGUAAACACCUCAAAUAUCUUGUUUCUUGUGAAUAAGAGAAUUGGACUUGAGCAAUCCCAACUCUUGCAAAAGAGGCGGGUUGCUUGAAAUGCAGGUGCAGCUGGACAUUCUUCUGAGCUAAAAGCAUAUUUAUUUAGUCCCGUAAAACGGAUUAUUACUUUUGCUGCAGCUAACAUAAAGGUUGAAUGGCCAAUAUGGCUGACUGAUGCAGGAUUAACAGAGAAUUUAUUCUUUGUAAACUCGAUCUCAAAUCAAGUAAGACUACCCGCUGAACUUAAGCAUAUCAAUAAGCGGAGGA
Molecule: unclassified non-coding RNA, 418 nt
Filed under: soil metagenome
Description: partial contains 5.8S ribosomal RNA, internal transcribed spacer 2, and large subunit ribosomal RNA
Rfam family: 5.8S ribosomal RNA (bases 1-120)
Source: RNAcentral